This 519-nucleotide ribosomal RNA is filed under the name Serratia plymuthica. RNAcentral describes it as "bacterial SSU rRNA". It matches the Rfam family "Bacterial small subunit ribosomal RNA", at positions 824 to 1344 of the family's 1533-position model. Lineage: Bacteria; Pseudomonadati; Pseudomonadota; Gammaproteobacteria; Enterobacterales; Yersiniaceae. The record is from RNAcentral.
UUGUGCCCUUGAGGCGUGGCUUCCGGAGCUGACGCGUUAAAUCCACCUCCUGGGGAGUACGGCCGCAAGGUUAAAACUCAAAUGAAUUGACGGGGGCCCGCACAAGCGGUGGAGCAUGUGGUUUAAUUCGAUGCAGCGCGAAGAACCUUACCUACUCUUGACAUCCAGAGAACUUUCAAGAGAUGGAUUGGUGCCUUCGGGAACUCUGAGACAGGUGCUGCAUGGCUGUCGUCAGCUCGUGUUGUGAAAUGGUGGGUUAAGUCCCGCAACGAGCGCAACCCUUAUCCUUUGUUGCCAGAGAUUCGGUGGGGAACUCAAAGGAGACUGCCGGCGAUAACCCGGAGGAAGGUGGGGAUGACGUCAAGUCAUCAUGGCCCUUAGGAGUAGGGCUACACACGUGCUACAAUGGCGUAUUCAAAGAGAAGCGAACUCGCGAGAGCAAGCGGACCUCAUAAAGUACGUCGUAGUCCGGAUUGGAGAGGCAACUCGACUCCAUGAAGUCGGAAUCGCUAGUAAUCG